GUCACUAGGCAACCGCGUCGGCGUCUGCUUUUAACCUGUGGGAGAACCCGGCGAGCUAAGCCAAACGGAGGGCGGGAGAGAGGAAGCGGCAGCUGGCGCCUCUCGGCAACUCUAACCCUCUGAUAGAGAUCGCCAAGAUUGGUAUCCAUAGAGCUUGCUGUGGUUUGAAUGUAUCCCCCAAAGUUCAUGUGUUGGAAACUAUUCUUAAUGCAAAAGUGUUAAGAGAUCCCGGAGAGCUUGUCCACUGCAACAGUGCAACACGCUAAGGGCUGUGUGGCGGCACAGGGGCUCUGAGCUCCUGACCUGAGUCAUGGGGACCUGAAGGCUGACACCCAGCCCUAUACCUACAAGCUGGGUGAGACCCCUGGCAGUUGCCUACACCCCUGCUGAGACCCAGUACCUCCCUGUAAAAUGGGGGAAAUAAUGCCUGCCUCACAGGGUUUCGAUGAAGGGAAACAUUUGGAAACCCCUUGGAGGAGAUCUGCCACAUGGCCUCCAGUGAACUGUAGACUCCUGCAUAGCCUUCCAAAGUUCUUCAUUUGGUGAAUAUUAUGAGAAAUGACACGUAUGACUUUCUCCCAAAUACGUGGCUUAAACCCAAAGUACAGUGAAAUCAGAACUGACCACACAGAGUAAUUGGGGCAAGGGAGUUAUUUGUGACACAAAGCCCUCAUCACUUUAUAAAAGUACUUGCUACUGAUUACAUUGAAAACCAGUCUUCCUGAGUAAAACAUGUUUUUUGUUUUGUAUCGUUUUUGUUUUUGUUUUUUUGAGACAGAGUCUCACUCUUUGACCCAGGCUGGAGUGCAGUGGUGCGAACUUGGCUCUCCGCAACCUCUGCCUUCUGGGUUCAAGCGAUUCUCUUGCCUCAGCCUCCUGAGUAGCUGGGAUUACAGGUGCCCGUCACCACGCCAGGCUAAUUUUUUUGUAUUUUUAGUAGAGGCGAGGUUUUGCCAUGUUGGCCAGGUUGAUCUUGAACUCCUGACCUCAGAUGAUCCACAUGCCUGGGCCUCCCAAAGUGCUGGGGUUAGAGGCAUUAAGGGAGGAGACCACCCCUCAUAUUGUCUUAUGCCCAAUUUCUGCCUCCAAAGAAAGAAAAAGUAAAAACUGAAAGGCAGAAAUGAAAUCCACAAGCAGACAGCCCGGUGCCACACCCUGGGCAGAUCGACCCCUGACCUAAUCGGUUAUGUUAUCGAUUACAGACAUUGGAUAGAAAAGCACUGUGAAAAUCCCUAUCCUGUUUUGUUCAGAUCGAAUUACCGGUGCAUGCAGCCCCCAGACACGUACCCUCUGCUUGCUCAAUCGAUCACGACCCUCUCACACGCACCCCCUUAGAGUUGUGAGCCCUUAAAAGGGACAGGAAUUGCUCACUCGGGGAGCUUGGCUCUUGAGACAGGAGUCUUGCCAAUGCCCCCAGCCGAAUAAACCCCUUCCUUCUUUAACUCGGAGUCUGAGGAGUUUUGUCUGCAGCUCAUCCUGCUACAUUUCUUGGUUCCCUGACCAGGAAGCGAGGUGACUGGCACAUGGUCGAGGCAGCUGCUUAGGCAGCUUAAGCAUGCCCUGUGAAACAUCCCUGUGGGGGACUCCGACCAGCCCAGGCAACGCGGAUCCUGAGAACGCUCCCGGGUAGGCAUCUGCCCCUGUGGGAUGCCUCACCAGAGCAGUGUGUGGCAGGCCCCCGUGGAGGACCAACACAGUGGCUGAACACCGGGAAGGAACAGGAUCUUGGAGUCUGGACAUCUAAAACUUGGCACAUGUACCACCCCUAGAAUUUCUGGUAAACCAGCACCAGCCUGAAGAUCACGUUCUCAUCAAACGGUGGAAAGAAGAAAAACUCGAGCCAACCUAGGAAGGACCCCACCUUGUGCUGCUAACCACCAAGACUGCUGUUUGUACAGAAAAAAAAAAAAAAAAAAAAAAAAAGGAUGGACUCAUCACACCCGAGUCAAGAAAGUGCCACCUCCUCCAGAGUCAUGGGCCAUAGUCCCAGGGGAAAACCCUACCAAACAAAAGCUAAGAAAAAUUUAACUCUUUUCCUCUAUUCUAUUACUCUUUCUUCUUUCCUCGUUCUAUUGCUGACCAUCUAGUUAUUAACAUAACCAAGUCAAUUUCGCCUCAAACUAUUGCAUUUAAUGCUUGCCUUGUUAUACCCUGUGGGGACUUGCCAAGUCAAAGACAGCUUUCUUCUUCAGAAAAGUACUUCUGUCCCUCCUGACUCUCCUCAGACUGGGAAUUAGUAAACUGAACCAUUUAAUCCCGGGAGAUUUCGAUAAAGACCCCAGUGCCAACCAGGAGUCUUGCCCCCUGAUGUGCAGCUUGCAUGUCAUAGUUGGACCAACGUUCUGUGGACCACUACAGAACAAGGAUGGACUGCCCCAACCGGUUUUUGUAAUUUCCUAAAACCAUACAUUCAUUUUACUAGAGGAUCAUAGCAGUUAAAGACUUAAAACAAACUUUAGCAAUUAAGACGGGAUACCAAGAUGCAACUGCCUGGUUAAAAUGGAUCAAAUAUUCCAUCUGCAUGUUAAACAAAAGCAAUUGUUAUGCUUGCGCACAUGGCAGGCCAGAGACCCAGACUGUCCCCUUUCCACUAAGGUGGUCCUCCGUCGACCAGGUGUGGGCUGCAUGGUAGCUCUUUUCCAGGAUUCUACAGCAUGGAAUAAUAAGUCAUGCCAAGCUCUCUCUGCUAUAUCCCAAAGUCAGGCACCCUGCAGGUCAGCCCCCAAGGGCCAUCCAGCUUCCGUCCCCCAACACUAAGUUCACUUCGUGUUUCUCACGACAGGGAGGAAACAGCAUUCCUUGGAGACCUAAAGGGAUGCAGUGAGCUUAAGAAUUUUCAAGAGCUUAUCAAUCAGUCAGCCCUUGUUCAUCCCCGAGUGGAUGUGUGGUGGUAUUGUGGUGGACCUUUACUGGGCACUCUGCCGAAUAACUGGAGGGGCACUUGUACUUUAGUCCAGUUGACUAUCCCUUUCACCCUGGCAUUUCAUCAACCAGAAGGAAAAAAAAUAAGACAUCAUAAAGUGAGAGAAGCCUCCUAUGGGUCUUUCGACUCUCAUAUCUAUUUAGACACAAUUGGAGUCUCACGAGGAACAGCAGAUCAAUUUAAAGCUUGAAAUCAAAUAGCUGCAGGAUUUGAGUCAAUAUUUUAGUAGGUGACAGUUAAUAAAAAUGUAGAUUAUAUAAACUACAUCUAUUACAACCAACAGCAAUGAGCUUUUCAUGAGUUAAAAAAAACUCAUGUCAGCCCCAGCCCUGGGGCUACCUGACCUGACAAAACUCUUUGAACUCUAUGUGUCAGAGAAAAAAUGGCAGUUGGAGUUUUAACCCAGACUAUGGGGCCCUGGCCAAGGCCAGUGGCCUAUCUCUCAAAACAACUAGACAGGGUUUCCAGAGUCCAGCCCCCAGAUCUAAGGGCCUUAGCAGCAACAGCCCUGUUAGCACAAGAAGCAGAUAAACUAACCCUUAGGCAAAACCUGAAUAUAAAGGCCCCCUUGCUGUGGUAACUUUAAUGACUACCAAAGGACAUCAUUGGUUAACAAAUACUAGAUUAACCAAGUAUCAAAGCUUAAAAUCCCCACAUAACCAUUGAAGUUUGCAACACCCUAAAUCCCACCACCUUGCUCCCGGUAUCAGAGAGCCCAGUUGAACAUAACUGUGUAGAAGCGUUAGACUCAGUUAGACUCUAGCAGGACCAACCUCUGAGACCAUCCUUAAACAUCAGUAGACUGUGAGCGGUACGUGGACGGGAGCAGCUUCGCCAACCCCUGCAAAGUGACUCUGAAGAAGAUGACAAGCCCUGCUCCAGUCACACCCGGAAGCUGACUGGUCCACGCACGGCCGAAGCAUGAGAAAACUCAUCACGGGACUCAUUUUCCUUAAAAUUUGGACUUUUACAGUAAGGACUUCAACUGACCUUCCUCAGGCUGAGGGCUGUUCCCAGUGUAUGCAUCAAGUCACUGAGGUAGGACAAAAGGUUGCUACGGUCCUAUUAUUUUAUGGUUAUUAUAAGUGUACUGGAACUCUAAAAAGAACUUGUUGGUAUAAUGUUAUUCUAUACAAGGUAUGUAGCCCAGGAAAUGACAAACCUGAUGUGUGUUAUGACCCAUCUGAGUCUCCCAUGACCACAGUUUUUAAAAUAAGAUUAAAGACUGAGGACUGGUGGGGGCUUAUAAACAAUACGAGCAACGUGUUAGCCAAAACAGAAGAAAAAGGGGUGCCCAAAGAAGUCACCUUAAAAUUUGAUGCCUGUGCUGUCUUUAAUAGUAAUGUUAGAAAUAAGGUGUGGUUCUCUUAAUUAGAAAAGAGGCUAUAUGGCAGAAAAUAAGUACAUCUGUCAUAAAUUAGGACUGUGUAGAAAUAAAUGUAAAUACUGGUCUUGUGUCAUUUAGGCCACUUGGAUUUAAAAAAAAUGAAAAGGAUCCAGUCCACCUUCAGAAAGGAAAAAAUGGCCCUUCCUGUACUAAAGGGCAAUGUAACCCCUUAGAGCUAGUAAUAACCAAUCCCCUUGAUACUCGCUGGAAAAAAGACGAGCAUGUGACCUUAGGAAUCGACGGGGCCGGACUGCAUCCUUGAGUAAAUAUCUUGGUUCGAGGAGAAGUUUACAAACGCUCUCCUGAGCCAGUGUUUCAACCUUUCUAUGAUGAACUAAAUGUGCCAGUACCAGAAAUUCCAGGAAAAACAAGAAAUUUGUUUUUGCAAUUAGCCGAGCAUGUAGCCCAGUCUCUCAAUGUCACUUCAUGUUAUGUAUGUGGAGGAACUGUAAUAGGAGAUCAAUGGCCAUAGGAAGCCCAAGAAUUAGUACCUACAGACACAGUUCCUGAUGAAUUCCCGGCUCAAAAGAAUCACCCUGAUAAUUUCUAGGUCCUAAAAGGCUCAAUUAUUGGACAAUAUUGCAUAGCUAAAGAAGGAAAAGAAUUCACUCACCCUGUCAGAUGACUUAGUUGUCUGAGACAGAAACUGUAUAAUGGUACCACAAAAACAGUCACUUGGUGGAGUUCAAAUCACACAGAAAGAAAUCCAUUUAGUAAAUUCCCAAAGUUGCAAACCGUGUGGACCUACCCAGAGUCACACCAGGACUGGACAGCCCCCACUGGAUUAUACUGGAUAUGUGGGCAAACAGCUUAUGCCAGAUUACCUGGCCAGUAGGCAGGUAGUUGUGUUAUUAGCACUAUUAAACCAUCUUUCUUCCUACUGCCCACAAAAACAGGCGAACUCCUGGGCUUCCCUGUCUAUGCUUCCCGCGAAAAGAGAAGCAUAGCUAUAGGAAAUUGAAAAAAUGAUAAAUGGCCCCCUGAGAGAAUCAUACAAUAUUAUAGGCCUGCUACUUAGGCACAAGACAGCUCGUGAGGAUACCGGACCCCCAUUUACAUGAUCAACCGAAUCAUACGGUUACAAGCUGUCUUAAAAAUAAUCACUAGUAAAACCAGCAGAGCCUUGACUAUUCUGGCCUGGCAAGAAACUCAGAUGAGAAAUGCUAUCUAUCAAAAUAGAUCAGCUCUCGACUACAGCUGAAGGAGAGGUCUGCAGGAAAUUUAACCUUACUAAUUGCUGCCUACACAUAGAUAAUCAAGGGUAAGUAGUUGAAGACAUAGUUAGAGAUAUGACAAAACUGGCACAUGUGCCCGUACAAGUGUGGCAUAGAUUUGAUCCUGGGGCCAUGUUUGGAAAAUGGUUCCCAGCACUAAGAGGAUUUAAAACUCUUAUAAUAAGAGUUAUAAUAGUAAUAGGAACCUGCUUACUGCUCCCUUGUUUGCUACCUGUACUUCUUCAAAUGAUAAAAAGCUUCAUCACUACCUUAGUUCACCAAAAUGCUUCAGCACAAUGUACUAUGUGAAUCACUAUCGAUCUGUCUUGCAAGAAGACAUGGGAAGUAAAAAUGAAAGUGAGAACUCCCACUAUUGAGUGAGAUUCUCAAAGGGGGGGAAUAAGGGAGGAGACCACCGCUCAUAUUGUCUUAUGCCCAAUUUCUGCCUCCAAAGAAAGAAAAAGUAAAAACUAAAAGACAGAAAUGAAAUCCACAAGCAGGCAGCCCGGCGCCACACCCUGGGCCUGGUAGUUAAAAAUCGACCCCUGACCUAAUUGGUUAUGUUAUCUAUAGAUUACAGACAUUGGAUAGAAAAGCACUGUGAAAAUCCCUAUCCUGUUUUGUUCCGAUGUAAUUACCGGUGCAUGCAGCCCCCAGACACGUACCCCCCACUUGCUCAAUCAAUCAUGCCCCUCUCAUGUGCACCCCCUUAGAGUUGUGAGCCCUUAAAAGGGACAGAAAUUGCUCACU
This 6274-nucleotide long non-coding RNA is filed under the name Homo sapiens (human). RNAcentral describes it as "non-protein coding lnc-TRAF5-6:10". Lineage: Eukaryota; Metazoa; Chordata; Mammalia; Primates; Hominidae. The record is from RNAcentral.